GCUGAGUAUAAGGCUGUGGCCAAUGCCACAUCAGAGAUCAUCUGGGUACAGUCCUUGCUUCAGGAGUUAAGUAUACCCCAAUCACAGCCUCCUGUUCUUUGGUGUGAUAACAUCGGUGCUACAUACCUUUCUGCAAAUCCGGUAUUCCAUGCUCGAACGAAACACAUUGAAGUUGACUAUCACUUUUUGCGUGAACGUGUCUCUCAGAAGCAACUACAGAUCAAGUUUAUUUCUUCCAAGGAUCAACUUGCUGACAUCUUCACCAAGCCAUUGCCUUUGCCACAGUUUGAGACUUGCAGGCGCAAUCUUACCCUU
This 315-nucleotide ribosomal RNA is filed under the name Triticum aestivum (bread wheat). Its description in RNAcentral is "partial small subunit ribosomal RNA". The record is from RNAcentral. Lineage: Eukaryota; Viridiplantae; Streptophyta; Magnoliopsida; Poales; Poaceae.